Oryctolagus cuniculus (rabbit) is the source of this 401-nucleotide non-coding RNA. The record is from RefSeq and is a predicted model, not a curated record. NCBI's taxonomy places the organism in Eukaryota, Metazoa, Chordata, Mammalia, Lagomorpha, Leporidae.
GUGUGUGUGUGUGAUGGGUGUCAGGUGUGUGUGUGUGUGCGUGUGAUGGGUGUCAGUGUGUGUGUGCAUGUGUGUGUGAUGGGUGUCAGUGUGUGUGUGUGUGUGAUGGGUGUCAGGUGUGUGUGUGUGAUGGGUGUCAGGUGUGUGUGUGCAUGUGUGUGUGAUGGGUGUCAGGUGUGUGUGUGCAUGUGCAUGUGAUGGGUGUCGGGUGUGUGUAGGUGUGUGUGUGUGUGAUGGGUGUCAGGGGUGUGUGUAGGUGUGUGUGUGUGUGAUGGGUGUCAGGGGUGUGUGUGUGUGCACCUGUGCCCGUGAUGGGCACACAGCCAGUGCAGGUGCGGAAUGCAGAAGAAACCUGCUUGGUCCGCAUCUCCUGGGCCUGACACUGAACCUGUGAACCUCCA